This 26-nucleotide non-coding RNA is filed under the name Cricetulus griseus (Chinese hamster). Lineage: Eukaryota; Metazoa; Chordata; Mammalia; Rodentia; Cricetidae. The record is from RNAcentral.
GUGCUGGUUAGGAUUUUGUGGAACAA